This is a long non-coding RNA of Bombus huntii, 7963 nucleotides long. RefSeq lists it as uncharacterized. The record is from RefSeq and is a predicted model, not a curated record. NCBI's taxonomy places the organism in Eukaryota, Metazoa, Arthropoda, Insecta, Hymenoptera, Apidae. The transcript is spliced from 2 exons.
UCCCAAUUGGAAAUAAAAGAGAUUACAGGAAAUCUUAAUUCCACCCUGUUGGUAAUUUCAUUCGUAGCUAUCUACUAGAAUUAUCGCAAUUGUCAACAUAGUUUCCGUUCUAUAACGAUCUUUCUUAUCUAUGUAUAAUUAUCUCGCGUAAUUGAUAUUUUUUCUUAGAAGUCCACAUUCACAUUGAAAUAUUGGAUGACGCAUUGGAAGCUACUACCAUGUCAGGUUACCAUGCCAGAACCCAAAUAAAUCACGUUUAAAACAGAAAGUAAUAGCGGCAUUACUCGAGAAUCACACGAACUAGCUACACUAAGGACUUCCUGCGAGCGAUAAACUGGUCAUUCACCGAUCUUCUCGACCAUCGAACGCGAAUUAAAACACGUCGGAAAUUCAGAAUAAAAGAAUGAAUCACCGGUAUUGUACGACGUGUCUAUCUCCCUGCUUUUCUCACACCGAACCCCUUCUUCUUACACACGCGUAAUUAGUACGUCUGUAAUUAUUAUGUCACUCGGAGUCGAGCGUUCUCGAUCAUAGCAGCAGAGGUCGGGCUGCCCUCGUCUACGAAAUAUUAUUCGCACUUUUGUCGUCCCUUGUUUCUCCUUUUCUACCAGCGAGCCAUUCUCAAUUACUCCGGUAUAUCCAUUAGUGUGGAAAAAAGCGGAGGGAUAAAACGGAAGGGAUGAGGAGCGUUGAAAUGUGGGAAUCGCGCUUUGACAGAGCAUUAAAUAACGGGCAUAUCGCGGCGCGCGUUUCACGCAGCGUGUCGCGCGUUACACGACGCCGACAUAAACGCUGUGGUCACGUAGCCUUUGCGCUGCUGUAGCGCGAUGGAAGUGGGCCGAGAAUUAUUUAUACGUUGGUCGACACAGCUGAUCUCCGGCGCGCGAGCGCGCGUCCUCUUCUACCUUUUCUCUUCGCCUGUAUUUUUGUGCGGCCAGCCGAGAACACAGGAUCGGCUCGCACAGAGAAAAACGAUGGUGCGAUCGUAUAUGUGCGGAAUAUCACGAAGGAAGGAAGAGGAAAGAGAAUUAGACAGAAGGAAACAAAGAGAAAGAGAAAGAAGAUGGAAGGAAAGAGGAAGAAGAAAAGACUUUGUGUACCUCACUGACUGUGUGGACGCAGCAGAACGAAAAAGCAUAUUCGAUCUGGUGCCGGCUAGAAAUAGCAACGGCAGACUGAAAUAAACGCAACGUCGCAACGCGCGUCGACAAAGAAUCUCUCUCGGUUUUCAUGACGCUGUCACCGACCCCCAUCCCACCACCGGACUCGCUUUUUCUCUCUACGCUCUUCUCACCGUCGCGUCACAGCUCGCAGCCACGAUCCAACAUCGUCGUAAAAUUACCGAUGGCUUUAAAAACGCAAGACAGUUUCAUCUUUGAAGAAAUUCAUGGACGGUUUUCAGCAACCAGUAAAAGCCAGUUUAAAUCCGACAGCGAGAUAAAUUGCUGUGUUUAUCGGUCGCGAUUAAACGUACGUCAAGAUAAACUGAGAAAGAAAAAGAGGAGGAAACAAUGCCGAGAGAAACACAAUGUUACUGUAUAAACAUUAAUCGACGAAAUCGCGUGACAGUGUACAAAGUACAAGUUGCUGUUUAUCGAAAGUUACGUCGUUGUUCUCUUCUGUCGAUAAUGUAGGCUGCUGUCUGUAGUAUCUUGAAUACUUCUCACAUUUGUUGAGAAACAUGAUAUGUAGAUUUUAUCAUUUAUCACAUAUUUGUCAUCGAAGCAAGUUGCCUCGAGUUAAUAAUUCUGAACUGUUAAGUAGCAUUAGACAAAUAAGAUUCUUAGCUUUUAAUUAAAGUCGCUCUAGAAUGAUAAUUGUUUUUCUGUUUCACUCUGUUUACAAUGGUAAUCAUGAACUCUACGCAAACGUAUUACAAAUUGCAUCCCUUUUGGAGGAACGUAAAUAUUAAUACGAGAAUUGGGAGAAACUACAGAAGCGCUACCUUCCGUGUGUCCGUAGCAACGUAUGCUUCUGUAUUAGCUGUCAGGAAUCGAAUAAAAUGAUCUGGUCGAAACCUAAUACUUAUCUUCUGUUCAUGAAUACAAACGGUAGUGGGGCGAUCUUGGUUACAACUGCAUAUGCGAGAUGGUAAUAAAUCUCUGCCAUAAUUCAGUUAAAAAUGAAUGUCAUCAAUGUAUUUGGUUUCGGUUCGGGUUAGCGUUUUCAAUCCGAUCGCCGCGAAACCGCUUGCGUGGGACGAUAGCAAUUCUCAAAAAAUUGUUUAAGAUUUCGAUUUCUACAACAUAUCCAAAAAUUAUCGAAAUCAGAGAGGAAGGAAAUUUUUUGCCGUUUCAUUUAGUUCUUUGAAUAAACAGAAUUGACAAAGCAAAGAAUGCAGCCUUCAGUGAAAUAUAAUGUGCAAAGAGGUUAUGAAGCGCGACAUAUGGCAUAAGUUGUUUCGAACUUCUUUGUAUCUCAAUAAAAGAUGCUCGACAUAUUAAAACUCUCGUUCUUCGAUAAACAAGAGAAAAAAGAAGAAAGACAUAGACAUCCUCGAGAUUUCCGAUUUCCCCAUAUAGUAAUCCACUAGAGGUUACGAGCAAGAACGUGGUCGCAUUUCAACGCGUCGCGUCGUACCGUACGCGACGGGUGUUUCUUCAACUAAACACAUAACAUACACAAUAUGUAUCGAGACACGGAUACGUGAAGCGAGAAGUCAACUGCCCGGUACACACACGAAUCUGUAUAAAGGGUAUAUCCAUUGCAUAAUCAUUAUAAAUGCACCGUGCGUUAACUUACACUGGCACACUGAAAUUUUCGUUCCGCUUUCGAACGUCGCACCACCUAAUCGUUGCAUUCAAUUUACAGAACAUUUGCAUCGAAGAUUUAUACGUGUAACGUCGCGUUGUUGUCUGAAAGAAAUUUAUUCGUUCCGAAAUUGUUCCAGCUGUUAGUUACGUCUAGAUACAUAUAUUAAGCUAUGCCAGAAUAUAGUAUCUGUACUUUAAAUUAUAUUUACAAUAUUAUAUUUUUAUUUAAAUCUUUCUCAAAAAAUAUUAUUGAUGACAAAUACAGUAUCAGGCACAGCUAUUUUAAAUUUAUAUACUUAACAUAACUUACAUUAUACUGCUAAUCCUGAAUGUAACAAAUCUUUGAUACUGAUAUUUAGAUUAAAUAUCCAAAAAAACGCAACUAGAUAGUAACAGAAUGGGAAGCGUUGCUCUAUUUUCAAUUGAACGCAAUAUGUGGGAUGGAGUAUCAAUGUCAUGUCAUCUUAAAUUGGCGCGGUAUACCAGUCAAGCAUGGAUGUGAGAAUCAGAGCUCGGUGGAUUCAUAACCGUAACUCGACUCGUCAUCUUUGGUGCUAUCGUCUCGUUGUAAACAAGCUUAAGCAGUCCAGUGUGCCUGCCGGCGCUAUGUAGGUUACUAUCCCAACGGUCUGCGCCUCCUCGACCCGCCUUUAAGGUCGUUUACAGCGUAACCCGAACCCACUUCUUCUUUUCAUCAUCUUCUUCCUUCGCCUCUUUUUUUCACUCUUUUACCGUUUCUCGUAAUCCUUUUGAAAUGACUGUUUCGCGUAAAAAAUAGGCGUCUUUAGUAACUGUAGAUUAAACGUGCAACGCGGUGAUUUCUAACGUAAAGUAUGAUUUGCUUUUCGAAUUAUUUGAUCACAGAGAAACCUUAAAUUGCAGCAUGGUGUUUUGAAAUAAAGAUCAGAAAUGAACCUAUACAUCUACAAUUGAGACGAACAUUUUUCGAAACCAGGACGAAUAUUAUAAUAGAAAGAGUCAUCAAUUCGAGUCACACUGUUUCCUGUAAUAAAAUUAUCCACUAGGUAUCAUUACCCUGCUUUCCCUUAGAAGCACACGAGACUUAUAAUUUUCUGAAUAGUCAUUACUUUUUCGAGUGUUAAUUUCAGGUAUAAGAUUACAAAUCGGAUCAGAGGAACUCGAAAAUGAUCCUCAUCCGGAUCUACAUCCGGUCGUACUUUAUAUUUAUGCUUUUUUGCAAAUAGAAUAAAGGAUUACCAAUAUACGUAAAUACCGAGAUCUCGCAUACAAAAACAAAUAUUGUUCCAACACCCAGACAUACAUACGAGUUGUAUAUAUAACCAUGUCGUCAUUAAACAGUACGUUUCAAAUCACUCAAUAAAUUAGCUCCAUAUUACGCAAUACUACAGAAUAAAACCCACAGGUUAACUUCGAAUUUUCAUAUGACUUUAAAUUCGUGAAAUAUUAGAUCGGACAAUACUGGCUCUCACGAAUGAAACCAUAAAUGUACAUAUGAUACUGUAAAAGAUGUUAUAAUAUACUGCGCAUGCAAAUUAUUUGGCAUGAAUAUUUAUUCGCACUUUCGCGGCAUAUCCAUAACGACUUACAGCGAUUUUGCGAGGUACGUGCGGGAGGUAUCACGCAUCGUGACCGCAUAACGCGUUUUCUGAUUCUUUUUUCUGGCUGUGGCGCACGCGCUCGCCAACCUCGUGGCUGCUCCUGAUGCGCUUACCCAACGUUGUUAGCAGCGCCGCGCUGCCGUUAGCUGUGUCGAUGAUCUUUGGUUGUGGUCGUGCGACGUACACGUAUAAGUUACGCUCUAAGAAUUACCGGGUAGUGGAGUAUCACGUGACGCCGCCUUGUGGGUAUAUAAAGACGACCGACGGCUAGUGGAAUCAGCCACUUGAGAACUGGCUCCGAGGUUCGUGCAGUGGUUUGUAGCUUCUAUAGCGAUCGAGAAUCGCCGAAUACGAUUGUUUAUCUCAAAGCACAGAGGUGGAGAAAGAGAAAACUAUCGAAGAAAUGGCUUUGUAUUUUAUUGCUCCCGAUACUGACGAAAGAAAAGUGAGAAGGGAGGAAAAUUGUAUACGUGAAUUGAUAAUGAAUCUUGGGAAAAGGCUCGCAUAAAAAUUGUUUAAGGUAGGUCGUUGGUUCUGAUGACCGGUAGAAAAAUGACGUAGUCCGAUUAUCGGCUGUUUGAACGUCAUAGAGAAGCGGGUGACACGCACGCGCAGAACGUUGCCCCUUAGCAAGAAUGGUGAAGCUGAGACACGUACUUACAUACACAUAUAUGUAUGUCACGGAUGCGCAUGCCUUCUACGCUAUAAAUCAUUGAAACAUAAUGUGGUAUAUUAUAUAUCCGAACAUGAUAUCGUAGUCGACGAUCACGCAUACACACGUGGUUAAUAUAAUAUGGAUUCGGAGACUCCGUAAUUAUAUCGACAAUCGAUCAGACUAUCUAUGUAUAUAGAGAACGACGUUAACGUCGGUUAGAAACUGAGCGGAGUACAUACUUUCGAAGCGGAAAGAUCUGCCACGAUUAGAAUCUCGUUUUAUACGCAUAUAUUUGUCACGUCUGGUAGAACGCGUGAGCGUUCCACACUCUGAGGAAGAGAGACAGGGAAAGACGCCGCGUCAGACUGUGUGCAUCGGUUCCAAGGCUCUCUCCGAGCACUGCCUCCCGAGGAUUUCAACUUCUUUUUGUCCGGCGUUCAAGGUGAACCCGUACGAGAAAAAAAUUCCCGCGUCCUCCAACUGAGACACUAACACCGGAUGGAAAAUAUACUGACCCACUGACUCAUAGGGGAUUUCCGGCAUUAGCUUGCAUUUGCUACGUGCUAUAGUAACUACCGAGCACGACGUCCUUAAAAGUCUCGUUACGUCUUGCAAAAACCGUUCAUUACCCGACCAUAAAUGUAACUGAGGUCGUUAUCUCAAAAACCAACGGAAUAUUAAUUUGUUAAAAGGCAUACUUAUUUUCGUGAGUUAAUAGUAAAAGUUAGCCAGAAAUUAAAAGAUUUGGAGAUUAUAUUCGAAGCUCUAUAGUAUGUAGCCGUGCAGAACAGAGAGAAAGAUGAAGGUCUCGAAGAAAUUUCCGGAUGUCGAAUGCUUAGCUCAGCACAGUUAAUCGCGACCUAGACAUCAUCGCGACUGUCGAGAGACAGUUAAAUUUAUAACAGACGGAUUAGAUCCACGUUUACGGAUCGUUUUAAUGGCGGAGGAACGCGCAAACGAAGAAACGAUCGGACGAUUUCGUGAUUGCCCUAACUGCGAGUCAGCUAAUAAAAGACGUUGCGCAAUCGUGGACGUUGGUGUUGCGCUGUAGAUAAUAAUAAGAACAUAGACUGGUAAAGUGGAAGGGGUGGGUGAGAGACGGCAAAGGAUAGGUUCUCUUUCCUUCUCUCUCUCUAUCUAUCUAUCUAUCUAUCUAUCUAUCUAUCUUCUAUCUCCCUGCCUCUGUUGUAUGUGCGCGUCCAUGUUCCUUCUUUCGAUAUUGUCGAUGGAUCGCUGUGUGCACGCGCGAAUGCACAAACAUAAUAAUUUGUCGCGGAUGAGUUGUCGCGAGUUACAGCGGCCGCGCACUAGUGCACUGGUGCAACGAAAUCGAAGAGAAACUCUCCCGACCCAACUCGUACGCUAUUUACAGCUUCUUUCGAGUAACGAGUUACUAGGUUGAUUGUCCCGAGUCUUCAGGAAACGUACUAUCCUCUUCUCGUAUUACUAUAUUCUCUAUCUUUGAUCUUUCUUCUUCGUCAUUUAUAUAUUUUCUAAAAAAUCAUCAUUUUCAUGCACUUCUAUCUAACUUUCAUUCGAUGGCGCUGUUUCCGCCUUUCGUAUUCACUUUCGACAAAGAAAUGUCCGUAAAUAGGAUCAUUAGAAUGGAGAAUCGAUACGUUAACCUGACCACGUUAAUUAAAUUGUGAAAUUUCUAUCGUGAUUACUCACGGCCGAACGUUGCCACGGUAUCGUUUCUUGGAGAAACACGCGUCUACGAGAAUACUAAUCGACGUUAACCUCUUUGCUGUGGCCAUACUCUCCACCACCGUCCGUAAUCUGCCUUUCUCGUGGCCGUGUCUUUAUUUUACCAGUAGAAAGGAAAGGUCGCUUGAGGAUAGACAAAUAAGACGGAAUCGGCGCGAAGAGGCAUAUCGGGGAACGAUUGCCCGACGGUCGUUAUGCGUGAUAGAUGUUAUACCGCUAUAUGUAUGCUGCAGUGUGGCCACAGAGUUUUCUCUGGCUCGUUUAGCAAAAGCUGGGAACCACGAGAAAUCCGAUCGUAAUUACUUCCGGCUCGCCGAGGCCUUCUAGGGAACGUUGAGAAAACGGAAAUUCACUUUCUUUACCUUGGCACCAUACUUACCUCUAUGUUCCUCUAUCUUGUUUUCUUUCUCUCUUCUCCUUUCUCUCCGUCUCCCUCUUUAAAUGACCCGACGUCUGCGCGAUAUGCACGCACACAUAUGCAUACAUAUCGUGUGUGUAUGGUCGUGAUUCUUAUACAUCGACGAUUCGUUUAACAAAAUGUUCAGGGUCAGCAUACGUAUGUAGAUAGAUGGGACACCUGCAUCGAGUAUUGUCUUUCCGCGACUUUCCGACUUUCCUAACCACAGACACGUAUAUGCCUGUGUAAUCAUUGUAAAUAAUUACUACUAGCGCUUAGCAAUUAAUCGAGUUAUCUUGUGAUAAAAGACAGUUGAUAUUCGUACAAAGGCGACUGUCGAAACGUGCACUUAGAAACUCGUUCCUUGGCACUCGAUCAAAGUAUGUUGGAAUCUGUAACAUUAUUCGGAAUAUUAUUUUGGAUCGUUUCUCUGAUGAUCAAGCAUUUCACUCGUACACCCUUCAUCGUAAAACAAUUUUUUAUCGCGAAUAUUUAGAAUGGAAUUCAAACGUAAAAAUAUGGCCGAAUGAACACUGAUACAUUCAACGCCAUCUGUUUGCAGUCCAUCGUUUGACGAUACAUUUUACGAGCAUUGUUCUCCAAACUGCGUUUUCAUAGAUAUAAAUAUUAUUUACAAGUAUACAUAAAAGAAAACUUGUUUUUCACUUCGUAUACGAUACGACGAGGACGUUAAACGUAAAAUUGAUGUUGAUUAUCCAAAAUAUAGUGACGUUACCGUGAAGUUGUAGUUUGUGACGUAAAUGUUCGCAGUUGAAGUGAUGAGAUAAACGCGCCAUGACAGCCGUAGUGUACUUAAACCUUUCGUUUGUUUGGUUGAAAUUUGCGUAAAAUAGAUUUCGCGUAGCCAUUG